AUUGAACGCUGGCGGCAGGCCUAACACAUGCAAGUCGAGCGAGCGGCGGACGGGUGAGUAAUGCCAAGGAAUCUGCCUGGUAGUGGGGGAUAACGUCCGGAAACGGGCGCUAAUACCGCAUACUGAUGGAUGGACCCGCGGUGCAUUAGCUAGGUGGUGAGGUAACGGCUCACCAAGGCCACGAUGCAUAGCCGACCUGAGAGGGUGAUCGGCCACACUGGGACUGAGACACGGCCCAGACUCCUACGGGAGGCAGCAGUGGGGAAUAUUGCACAAUGGGCGCAAGCCUGAUGCAGCCAUGCCGCGUGUAUGAAGAAGGCCUUAGGGUUGUAAAGUACUUUCAGCGGGGAGGCGUUACCCGCAGAAGAAGCACCGGCUAACUCCGUGCCAGCAGCCGCGGUAAUAC
RNAcentral lists this ribosomal RNA (406 nucleotides) under uncultured bacterium. RNAcentral's name for it is "partial 16S ribosomal RNA". It matches the Rfam family "Bacterial small subunit ribosomal RNA", at positions 29 to 526 of the family's 1533-position model. The record is from RNAcentral.